GACGAACGCUGGCGGCGUGCUUAACACAUGCAAGUCGAACGGAAAGGCCCUGCUUUUGUGGGUUGCUCGUGUGGCGAACGGGUGUGUAACACGUGAGUAACCUGCCCUUGUCUUUGGGAUAACUUCAGGAAACUGGGGCUAAUACCGGAUAGGAGCUCCUGCUGCAUGUUGGUGGUUGGAAAGUUUCGGCUGUUGUGGAUCGACUCGCUGCUUAUCAGCUUGUUGGUGGGGUAGUGGCUGACGAAGGCUUUGACGGGUAGCCGGCCUGAGAGGGUGACCGGGCACAUGGGGACUAAGAGAGGGACCAGAAGGCAACGGGAGGCAACGGGGGGGAGUAUGACAGAGUGGGGGGAAGCCAGAGGCAGCAACGCCGCGUGCGGGAUGACGGGCUUCGGGUUGUAAACAGAUGUCGCAUGAGACAAAGCGGGAGUGACGGUAAUGGGUAAAGAAGCACCGGCUAACUACGUG
RNAcentral lists this ribosomal RNA (468 nucleotides) under uncultured bacterium. Its description in RNAcentral is "partial 16S ribosomal RNA". It matches the Rfam family "Bacterial small subunit ribosomal RNA", at positions 28 to 507 of the family's 1533-position model. The record is from RNAcentral.